UGAGGUAAGUAUCAUAUCUAAAUUUGGUGAUGCACUAAUUUCCUGAGUUAUUAGUGAUAGCUAUGUGUUAUGGAUGUCGCAUAUGUGGGGGUUUGAGCCCAUUAGCAUGCAUAGGGUAUUAUUCAUGCUCGAGAUAGUGCUCAGGUUGUGAUGGGCUUGAAUUGAUUACUGAGCUUCAUGCUAUUAUGUUUUUUAUGUUUGUACCCCCUUUGUGAACUAAUUGAAUCAUGUUUGAAUUUACAUAUAGGUUGAUCUCUUGAUUGAACCUGAUAGUUUCUAUUUUGUGAUGAAGUUUCCUAAUUUGAGCUAUGGUAGUAUACUUCACACAUGCAUACACCUUAGCAUGUCAUUUAUAUUAGUUCAUGAGUAUGUAAUUUGACAUUCAUUGUUCAAGUACAUGCUUUCUUGUAUAUAUGCUUUCUGUGUAAUAUGGAUUGGACUGAUGGCAUGUGAGUGGUCUGUGUGAGAUAGUUACUAUGAGCACGUGAGUUGUCCGUACUGGAUUGUUAUUAUUGGCAUGUGAGUUGUCCGUGCGGGUUGUUACUGAUUGCACAUGAGUUGUCCAUGCGUAUACGAGUUAUGAUAUUAUUGGCACGUGAUUUGUCCGUGCAUCACGUGAGUUAUCCGCGCGGUUGAUAUUAUUGACACGCGAGUUGUCCGUGCAACACCUGCGUUGUCCGUGCUGUUGAUAUUAUUGGCACGUGAGUUGUCCAUGCAGCGUGUGGAUAAGGAUCCAUCCCCAGGGGCAUCCUCUCAUGUUUCUCUCUUGAUGGUGUACAUACGGUAUGGGGAAAGUUGAUCACUGGUUUGGUUUGGUUAUUGUAUUUUUGAGAAAAACUGGCCAACGUUUGUUUUUGUUAUUAUAUUUCUUCUCUACUUGCAAUUUCCUUGGAUAUAUACAUGAUUUUGCUGCAUAUCUUCUCUAUUUGCUAGCUCUGGGGUGUAUACAUGCCUUUAUGCAUAUCUUCUCUAUAUGCUACCUUACUUGAUGAGGAGAGACAAGGUACAUAUCUUCUCUUUAUGUGAACCCGUGUGACUUGACUUGUUUAAUCAUGCAUAUCUUCUCUAUAUGCAAGUUUGAUGAUUUAAUGAUAUUGGACUCAUAUCUUCUCUAUAUGCCGGAUUGUUAACUGAUUCAGGACUUAGCACAUUAUCUCUUUGUGCACCGAUGUGGUUUUAUUUGUGUUGUAUAAUUGGAUAACAUCAGUGUUGUAUACUUGUGAAAUAUAGGAAUUGACCUGGUUAUUAGCAAGUAUCUUGCUACUAUUACCUCGCCGAUGUUAGUUAUGAUACUUGCUAAGUACAUGAGAUCGGUCGUACUCAUGCUACACUUCUGCACAUUGUAUGCAGAUCUUGGAGCUGCUGCUGCUGUGGAUGACAAGAGAUGGCAUUGAAGAUGUACCUACUUUCCGAAUAUAGCUACCACUUGUCCGUGGUAGUUUUAUAUUCAUAUUCUGUUUAUGUAUAUUACAAACAAAUAAUGUAUUUAUUUUCAUAUCAACUUUGUAAAUCUAAGUCUUAGUAGUUCAUGAUCUGUACUACCAAUCCUUGAGUUAUUGUAUGGAAACUCAGCUAUGUCAUUUAUUGAUUAUCUAUGAUCUUCAUUAGAGUUGUGUUGACUGUUGCUUGGCUUACCUAGCGAGUUGGGGUUAGGUGUCAUCACGACUAGGUGAAUUUAUAGGUCGUGAUAAUAGGCAUGAUUUCUAGGUGUAACAAAUAGGCACUGUGAAAGAGACGCAUAAAAAGGACAACAUCCUAUAGGCCUAAUUUCUACCCAUUGCACGAUCCUAUUCGCGUGCCGUCUAAUAAACGAUGAAAUAAGCAAUGCUCCCCGUCCCCAGAUUUUACUCACAUCCCCAUAGUUAGUUACAUGAUUAUUACAUACCCAAGAAUAAAGAAAACAAAACAUACAGGCCUAAAAUGAACAAAUACAUAGCCUAGAGAAUUAUAAUCAUGAGCCCAGGUAAGUAUUUGGGCCUUCAGGAUCUUCCCAAAUGCGACCAACGCCCAACAGUCUAGCCUAGGAUCCCACAGUAGCGGCAUAUGGCCCAAUCAAUCAAGCCCGAGUUCAGUUUGACCACUUAUAAUCACCCCUUCACACAUUCUUAACGACUACCAGCCCAACGUACAUGCAAAUUCUUAUAGACUAGUCUUUUAUAUGCACGAUUAUGAGAUUGACACAAGUCUUAGCUAGAAGAUGCACACAAAGCUCUAUAUGCAUGAUCUAUAAAGUUAAGGAGUGCACACAUUUCCUAAUUUCACAGUGAUCUCAGGUUCAAUGCAGCAAAGGAAAGACACACAUGAAUUUACUAAGUCUAAACAGAAGGGAGCAUGAAGUCGUAUAGACAUAUGUACUAAAUUUCACCAAACCAAACAGAGAUGAAAGUGAAGUCCUAUAGUCCUGCUAUUUACCAUGACAAGGAACAUGCAGAAGAGGUUUCAAGGAUAUGUUUCUCAACUUAAGAUAGCAAGGUAAGGCACAUGUAGCAUCAUAUUGAGUUUCCGGAAAUAAACAUAAAGCAAACCCCUAUAAACAUGAUCUCUAUUAACAAGUUAAUACAGUCAGACAUAAGAUAUCACUGGAGAGUCCUAUAUGCCUAGUACCUACUGAAUUUAAAUAUUAGCUUGGAGAAAAGAAUACAAGUUUAACAGAAAAGGUCCUAUUGGCAUGGACUCUAGAAUGCAUUGAAGGUUUGAAUGAGAAUGGUCAAUCGAAGUGCAAAUUUUAAUCAUAGCAUUUAAAGAAGUCAGUCACAUAUGUAAGCUUCAAUUAUAUAGAGUCUUUGGGUCAUGAUAAAUAACAAGAAUUAAGAGAAAGUCAAGUAUGCAGGCUUCAAUCACAAAGACAUCUAGAGUUAUAGUUUUGACGAUAUGGUACUACACAAGAAUAUUAACAUCACAGAAGAUUGAAUUGCUUUGUUAAAGGAUUAGGCUUAAUAGUGAGGCAUAAGCAUAAUUGAUUGAUCUUAUGGGUAUACUCUUCUAGGUUAAUUUUAGGAAGACAUGCAAACAGACAUAGAAACUACUAGGGAAUCACAUUUAGAGUACGGACAAAUAAUACAUGAGUCACAUAAACAGGCAUGGUAUCAAAAGGGCACGCAUAAAGUUAUUCCUUGAACUAUAAAGAUAUACGACUACAAAGAAGAUGCGAAGAAGUCUAACAUGUUUUAAAGGGGAAGAAAUACAUAUGGUGUCACGAUCCAAAAUCCCGCCUUGGGUGUCAUGAUUACACCUAGUCUCUAAGACCAGGAAAGCCGAUUACUCUUACAACAGUUACGCCAGUUAAACAUGAUAUUAUAAAGCAGAAUUUAAUAUAAAAUACCGAAAUAAAGGUGAUGCAAGUCUACGCGGCGAUAAUCACAACAAUCCUCUCAAGACGAGGUAAUACAGAGUCACAAACUCUACUGAAUACAUAACAUAAUUCAAAAUACAAUACUGUUCGGAUAGAGAUUUGACAGUAGUAAUAUAAGCAAAGGACUCCAUGGGACUGCGGCAACCAAACAGCUCUACCUUGAAUCCUCGCGAUCAAGAAGCUAACUUUGCUUGAAUCCGUUAUCUCCAAUACCUAGAUCUGCACAAAAAUGUACAGAAGUGUAGUAUGAGUACACCACGGUCGGUACCCAAUAAGUAUCAAGACUAACCUCGGUAGAGUAGUGACGAAGUACAAAUCAAGACACCUACUAGUCAUAAUAAUCUGUGCAGAAUAUCAGUAUAAAGCUAAUAACGGAAGCAAGAAACCAUAACGGCAACAAGGGAUACACAUGUAGAAAAGUAGUAAUGUAAUCAGAACAACGUUAAGUACCGGUGAAACCAAAUAAAAAAAAUAAAUGACAACCAAAUAUUCAAACCGCUCUAAUACAAGUUUCACAACAAAAAUUACUAUGAGAUACCUCCUUUCAAAAUCACAAAUCACGAGUCCCAAAUCACCAAUCAUAUGUUUGUGGCACUUCGUGCCCAUAUUAUAAAUCACAACCGUACGGAUAACUCACCUGCCAAUUCCUCAACCCGCCCGUCAUAGUCACAGGCUCACUAUCAAAAUCCGCCUGGUGUGGUCACAUGUCCAAUAUCACAAUGGAAAUAGAUACACAAGAAUACGUGUGCGAGAUCAAUAAAUCUCAAGUUUCAUACUUCUUAACCGAUAUAAAUGUCAUGCUACGGUGUAUGUAUGUGCCAGUGUACUAUUACAAUCCAAGUCAACAUAUAUUGGAAACAACACAACAAGUCACGUAAGGUGCAUGAAACACACAAGAAAAAUUACACCAUCACAUGAAUAUCAUCAACAUCGUGCCCCCAGACAGUCACAUAUCAUCCCUGACAUAGCCACCCUUAUUUCUCCCCAUUGACAAAUCAUAAUAACAAUCUGUAUUACUCCAGACAAUGUAUAUCAAUAGUCACAUGUAUCACUCCGCUUAGACAAUAACACAAUAGCCACCCGUAUCACUCCGCCCAGACAAUAACACAUUAGCCACCCGUAUCACUCCGCACAAUCAACAACAGUGAGAUGCCACCCUUAUGCUCCGCAUAGAAAUAAUUAAUCCACACAAUAAAUUCACAUGUGUCAGCAUCACAACAACACAAUAUAUCAACUCGUACCACAAGUGCCCAUAGGCCACAACCUUUCCAAAACAACAAUAUCAAUAUCAACACAACACAUAGCCCACGACUCAACCACAAUGUGCAUAAGAAUCGCAAUAACAACAAAAUGAAAUGGGAAAAAUUACUCGACAAUGAAAAAUAGUCCAUUAAACAACAACUUCAACUAAAAUAGGUUAAUGUCUUUCAAUGACUUCACUUCAAUUAAUUGCUUAAGAAUAAACUCAAUAAUGAAAGUAUUUUCAUGCAAUUGCAACUCCAAAUAUUAGUGUAUGGCACAAGCUAACAAUGAAAGAGAUGGUCAUGAAAUAGCAACUACGUCUAAAUGCAUGAGAAUAAAUUGUCAACGAGGGAUAUCAUGUAACAACUUCAAUUAAGAAUAACUUAACAAUAAAGAAGGUCACAUUACAAUAAAAGAGGUAACAACUUCAAAUAGAGCAUAUAAGCGUAAACUUGAUAAGUAAAAGAUAUAACAUGUGCUAAUAACUUCAAAUAAAGCAUGUGAGAGUAAACUUGACAAUUAAAAAAUAUAACGUGCACUAAUAACUUAAAAUAAAUGCAUGAAAGAAGCCUAAGAGUCUAAACCAGUCAAUUUUCAUAUAUAAUCCUGUGUACACACUCGUCAUCUCAUGUACACAUCGUCCACGUAAUUCAAAUAAUGCAAUUAAGCUCAUCCUACGGGGUAAUUUUUUUCACAUAAAGUUAGGCAAGAUACUUACCUCAAUGAAGCUAAAUCAAUACUCUAAAAAGACCUUUCCGUGUGAAACAACCUCCGGAUGGCUCGAAUCUAUCCAAAAUAACUUAAUAUCAUAAAUAAAAAUCAUAAAAAAUAAUUUCGGAUAAUAAAGCUUCGAUCAUUAAUAAAAACCAAAAAGUCAUCCCAAAAAGUCAACCCCGGGCUUGUCACACCUCAUUUUUACGGGGAAAGAAGUUUUUCCACUUUAAGUGAUAUUAUUGAAAUGAAAUUAUUCAUUUUACUUUUGAGAGUCGCCACUUAGAAUAAUUAUUUACGGUGUCUCAAGUCAUCAUUUAAUUUAAAAUUCCAAUUCAAGGAAACUGACUCUCUUUAUGUUUGUGAAAUACAGAAGAUCGGGUAAGGAAUUCUGUUAAUCCGGGAGAAGGUAUUAGGCACUCCCAGAUUCCGUAGUUUUAGCAUGGUCACUUUAUAAUCAUAACUUGGCUUGAUUAUCUGUUAAUUACGUAUUUUAAAAUCUAUGUGCAAUUUAACCUUUUACCGCAUUUAAAUUACUUGAUGAUGGCGUUAUGAAAUUAUCUUGAAACGAACCACGUGUGUGUGAAACUGUUUUAUUUAGUGUGCUAAAAUUAUAUCACAUGUACGUGUACACGAUUAAUAACACUUAACUAAUUAUUAAGAUUCUUUGGCCAAAGUCGCGCGGACACAUACCUUGAUUUAUUUUGGGAUCAUAAUUAUGUCACACGAACGUGUACAUAAUCACGAUAAUAUAUUAAAAGCAUGCCUAAAGCAUUCUACGAGUGUUCAAAAUUGUUUAGUCUAAACUAAUUUAUUGUUAAUAUGAGGCAUGAUUAUGGAAAAGCAUUGUGAACUCAAAAUGGGUGAUUUUAUUUAUUUAUGCCUAAACGUGUAAACAAACCCAAUCUUAACACAUAGCAUUUAUAGAAACAAUAGAUGAUCACGUUUUCUUUAAUUUAAUAAAUGGAUAAUAUUAUAGGCUUGAUUUGCAAAGAAAACAUGAGCUAAACUCAGCGUGAGUCCAGACCGCGAUACGGAAUGGGCUCAACAUGGAUGGCCCAAACAAAGUUCGCAUAGUUUCAAGAGAUAAACCCCAAAGCAUUUGUUAUUUGGAACUGGGCCUAAUACUGGCCCAGUAUAAUAAACUUGAUUGAACAAAUUUCAGUAGAUCCACAUCAGCUACAUACCCUCAAACAAUAUGGGUUAAACGAUAAGCAAACCCAAUUAAUUCUAAGAGGUUAUAACCCAAAUGUUCAGCUAAUAACCUAACUGAUUUUGCUAAUUACAACAAUUAGGGAAACUGAGUUAUUACAGGCUUUUCAAAUUAGCUUUACAAAGAAUCAAUAAAUUAAAAAGUGAUCUUCAAAUUUUAAACUAUGGGAAUUAAAAUAGAAUCAACUAUUAUACACCCACUUUCACGCCUAUGAAACUUUGAGUCAGGCCUGGUACUGGCCAAACUCCCAAACUUUAACAUUAGCUAGUGUUUCAUUUUCUAUUUACAGAUCUAAAAGUAAUCAUUGAAACUUCACAUAUGAUAUCAAUUACACACCAAUGACAAUUUUAGCUUUAGGUUAUUCAUACAAGUCACGAGAUCAAAUCUCAUACUCAUCCUCUCAGUUGUUGCUUAGGUUUACAACAUGCUUUAGACAUUAGCUAGAUCAAACAAUUCAAAUUCAAUUCGAAUUUUUAAUUAGACAUGAAAGAAUAUCUAAGGAACACAUAAUGAACAAAUUGAGGCAGAUAUUAUAACGUCAUGACAUCCACAUUGGCAAUUACAUAAUCUGAGACUGAAAAAAGUACCUGGAUAGUGGAUAAACAAUAUGCAAUUAGCCCAAUAAAUGCGAGAGAUAAAAUGACAGAACUCAACUAAGUAGGACACAACAUGCAACUUCAAAUAUGGACUAAAAACAGCUUGAAAACCCAAGAAAAUAGUAUAGAAGACCUCCUUGAAUCAAUCAAUAUCAGCUAAUUAUUUUUUAGUAUGAAAAUCAACCUAAACUUUUACUGUUUUUGUGUUUUUCCUCUAAGUUUUUAAAGCUGAAAAUUUCAGAUCUCAGAAAGGGAAUUUUGAAUUUCAAAACCUUUUUUCAGCUCUCUUUGGUGAGAGGUGCGUGAGUGAGAAUAUAUGAUAGUGAAUAUUAGAGUGAAUGUGAGCAGUCUGUUAUGUAGAAUAAAUUUCAGCAUCUUUCAGUUUUGCUCCCUUUUCUUUUACCCCUCCUAAUUUCUGCUAUUUUUCUCCCUCACCGGGACCUUUUCAGUUUUUUAUUACUAACAAUUCCUUUUUACUCUCUUCUAGAAGCUUUUCCACCAAUUAAGCUAAAAAUUCCUUUAAGUUAUUUCGUAAUAUUACCCUCUUAUCCCUGUAUUUAUCUCUGACCAACAGGCUCAUACCCAAUCCCCCACUUGACGGGCCAGCCUGUUAAGAAAUGGCAGGCCCAAUUCUUAUGCCCAAAUGAACCAGAACAGAUCAAUCAUCUACUGCAGACAAACAAUCUCAGAUGCAACUGCAACCUAAUUAAACAUAAAGUAAUUGACCAAAUAUGCAACUAAACUAAAAUCAAACAAUUAAUCACCAACUAAUCCAAACUCUUAAUUAACCUACUUGAACAGAAAUUUCAAUACGUGGUCAUUAGGCAAAAUUAGAGAAAAUGGGAAAAGAAGUAUACCAGUCAACAUAAACAAAUUCGGCGAGUGAGAAGAUAUCCAAUGGUGAAAAGACUCCGGCAAGCAAUAGAGGAGAGUGAAUUCUGGCCGGUCAACGGGAUUUGACCGACCUUCGGCGACCUCGAAGUGACCUAAAACUAACGUCAAUCGAUUUCUCUCGUCAAGAGCAAUUGAUCAGCAUAAAUUUCAAGUCAAAACGAAUUGAAAAAGGCCGAAAAAUCGAAAAGGGGACAUAUUAGGUUUUAAUAUUUUCCUAGAUCUAUUAAUCGUGGAAUUUGGGUGGGAUUUGAGGGAAAUGAAUAGUGUAUUUGGACUGAGGAAGGGCUGGGGAUUGUAGGGUGACAAUUUGGAGUAAUUUGGAGUGGUGCCGCCAUCGUGGGCAAUAUCCGGUGGGCAGUGGGCGACGGAGAACAGUGAGGGUGAGAGGAGGAGUCUGAGCGUGGUCUCUGGGGGUGGGGUAGGAUGUUUAGGGAACUUUUAUGGGAAUAAAAGGCCAGUUCCUGGCCAUUGGAUAUUGUUUGAGGGAAAGUGGAGAUCAAGGGGGUCCUGAAGCGGCGUC
This 8528-nucleotide long non-coding RNA is filed under the name Nicotiana tabacum (common tobacco). RNAcentral describes it as "long non-coding RNA (NTAB_LNC006560)". The record is from RNAcentral. Lineage: Eukaryota; Viridiplantae; Streptophyta; Magnoliopsida; Solanales; Solanaceae.